CGCAAAGUGCACUUUAGAAAUGCACAGAGGAGGGCGCCAACAUGUUAUAUAAUUCGUCAUCAAGUCCUACUUCUUCAUCGAGCGCAUCUUUAUCUUCGUACAAAUUGAGGAGAAAAAGUUAAACUCACCCUUGGAAGCAGUACGCGGUUGUGAGCAACCAAUUAUCUGCCACGAGAGUAGCAUCGCAAACAUGAACUCCCUCCUUGAAGAGUGCAACAUGCCACGGCCAAUCACCAGAGAAUUCAUACCGAGAUCGGAACAGCGGACAUACAGAACUUCUUUGCUAGGACAAGGAGCUCGGACAAAAGUGAUUUCCGGUGCUGAGGGAUCUUCCAUAUACACGUACGGGACGUCGUCUUCGUCAUCAAUUUUCACUUCAACGGAAGCUACGCCGCUGUACAGAAGAAUUGCAGGAAACGACAAUUUAACUUUGCUGCGUUUUUUUAGAUUAAAAAAAAAUUUUUUUUAAAGAAAAAUAGAAGAAAUGCUUACGUGUACGUGAGUAAAGUGCACAACGAGCUCGCUGCCGUUUGGAGAACGUUAUCCAUUUCUGUUUCUGGCAGAGUGGCGUUUAAAUUUGCCGUGCAAAGUUUGCCGAUGCUACCGGGACCGUCAUACUCUGGAAAGUUGGAGCAAUCCAAGGCGCGUUUUAUCUUCUCGGGGAGACGACUGCCGCAGCCACUC
Molecule: long non-coding RNA, 684 nt
Filed under: Monomorium pharaonis (pharaoh ant)
Lineage: Eukaryota; Metazoa; Arthropoda; Insecta; Hymenoptera; Formicidae
Description: uncharacterized LOC114253976, transcript variant X2
Source: RNAcentral